GCGGGAGUGGUGGAAUUGGUAGACACGCCAGAUUUAGGUUCUGGUGCCGCAAGGUGUGAGAGUUCAAGUCUCUCCUUCCGUACCA
Molecule: transfer RNA, 85 nt
Filed under: Shewanella sp.
Lineage: Bacteria; Pseudomonadati; Pseudomonadota; Gammaproteobacteria; Alteromonadales; Shewanellaceae
Also listed under: 24 other names
Description: tRNA-Leu
Rfam family: tRNA
About the family: Transfer RNA (tRNA) molecules are approximately 80 nucleotides in length. Their secondary structure includes four short double-helical elements and three loops (D, anti-codon, and T loops). Further hydrogen bonds mediate the characteristic L-shaped molecular structure. tRNAs have two regions of fundamental functional importance: the anti-codon, which is responsible for specific mRNA codon recognition, and the 3' end, to which the tRNAs corresponding amino acid is attached (by aminoacyl-tRNA synthetases). tRNAs cope with the degeneracy of the genetic code in two manners: having more than one tRNA (with a specific anti-codon) for a particular amino acid; and 'wobble' base-pairing, i.e. permitting non-standard base-pairing at the 3rd anti-codon position.
Source: RNAcentral